AGAUUUAAAGCAUUAAUUUGAAGCGUUAAAGAUAAUUUAAUUAGAG
Molecule: transfer RNA, 46 nt
Filed under: Taenia hydatigena
Lineage: Eukaryota; Metazoa; Platyhelminthes; Cestoda; Cyclophyllidea; Taeniidae
Description: partial tRNA-Phe
Source: RNAcentral